GACGAACGCUGGCGGCGUGCCUAAUACAUGCAAGUCGAGCGCAGGAAAUCGACGGAACCCUUCGGGGGGAAGUCGACGGAAUGAGCGGCGGACGGGUGAGUAACACGUAAAGAACCUGCCCUCAGGUCUGGGAUAACCACGAGAAAUCGGGGCUAAUACCGGAUGGGUCAUCGGACCGCAUGGUCCGAGGAUGAAAGGCGCUUCGGCGUCGCCUGGGGAUGGCUUUGCGGUGCAUUAGCUAGUUGGUGGGGUAAUGGCCCACCAAGGCGACGGUGCAUAGCCGACCUGAGAGGGUGAUCGGCCACACUGGGACUGAGACACGGCCCAGACUCCUAGGGGAGGCAGCAGUAGGGAAUCUUCCACAAUGGACGAAAGUCUGAUGGAGCAACGCCGCGUGAACGAUGAAGGCCUUCGGGUCGUAAAGUUCUGUUGUAAGGGAAGAACAAGUGCCGCAGGCAAUGGCGGCACCUUGACGGUACCUUGCGAGAAAGCCACGGCUAACUACGUGCCAGCAGCCGCCGUAA
RNAcentral lists this ribosomal RNA (524 nucleotides) under uncultured bacterium. RNAcentral's name for it is "partial 16S ribosomal RNA". It matches the Rfam family "Bacterial small subunit ribosomal RNA", at positions 28 to 523 of the family's 1533-position model. The record is from RNAcentral.